AAAUUUAGGUUAACUAAUAAAACCAAGGGCCUUCAAAGCCCUAAACAGUGGCCCCAACCCCCUAAUUUCUG
RNAcentral lists this transfer RNA (71 nucleotides) under Luperosaurus cumingii. RNAcentral describes it as "tRNA-Trp". It matches the Rfam family "tRNA". Rfam says of the family: Transfer RNA (tRNA) molecules are approximately 80 nucleotides in length. Their secondary structure includes four short double-helical elements and three loops (D, anti-codon, and T loops). Further hydrogen bonds mediate the characteristic L-shaped molecular structure. tRNAs have two regions of fundamental functional importance: the anti-codon, which is responsible for specific mRNA codon recognition, and the 3' end, to which the tRNAs corresponding amino acid is attached (by aminoacyl-tRNA synthetases). tRNAs cope with the degeneracy of the genetic code in two manners: having more than one tRNA (with a specific anti-codon) for a particular amino acid; and 'wobble' base-pairing, i.e. permitting non-standard base-pairing at the 3rd anti-codon position. Lineage: Eukaryota; Metazoa; Chordata; Lepidosauria; Squamata; Gekkonidae. The record is from RNAcentral.